UACGUAGGGUGCAAGCGUUGUCCGGAAUUAUUGGGCGUAAAGAGCUCGUAGGCGGUCUGUCGCGUCUGCUGUGAAAAUCCAGGGCUCAACCCUGGACCUGCAGUGGGUACGGGCAGACUAGAGUGCGGUAGGGGAGAUCGGAAUUCCUGGUGUAGCGGUGAAAUGCGCAGAUAUCAGGAGGAACACCGGUGGCGAAGGCGGAUCUCUGGGCCGAUACUGACGCUGAGGAGCGAAAGCGUGGGGAGCAAACCGG
RNAcentral lists this ribosomal RNA (253 nucleotides) under uncultured bacterium. RNAcentral's name for it is "partial 16S ribosomal RNA". It matches the Rfam family "Bacterial small subunit ribosomal RNA", at positions 524 to 776 of the family's 1533-position model. The record is from RNAcentral.